This 430-nucleotide unclassified non-coding RNA is filed under the name soil metagenome. RNAcentral's name for it is "partial contains 5.8S ribosomal RNA, internal transcribed spacer 2, and large subunit ribosomal RNA". The stretch from base 1 to 120 matches the Rfam family "5.8S ribosomal RNA", at positions 35 to 154 of the family's 154-position model. The record is from RNAcentral.
GAUGAAGAACGCAGCGAAAUGCGAUACGUAAUGUGAAUUGCAGAAUUCAGUGAAUCAUCGAAUCUUUGAACGCAUAUUGCGCUCUCUGGUAUUCCGGAGAGCAUGCUUGUUUGAGUAUCAGUAAACACCUCAACUCCCUUUUCUUUUUUGAAAUUGGUGCUGGACUUGAGUGAUCCCAACGCUUUCUUCCAAGAAAGUGGCGGGUUGCUUGAAAUGCAGGUGCAGCUGAACUUUUCUCUGAGCUAUAAGCAUAUCUAUUUAGUCUGCCUAAAAAACAGAUUAUUACCUUUGCUGCAGCUAACAUAAAGGAGACUAGUUCUUGUGCUGACUGAUGCAGGAUUCACAGAGACAGCUUCGGCUGACUUUGUAAACUCGAUCUCAAAUCAAGUAAGACUACCCGCUGAACUUAAGCAUAUCAAUAAGCGGAGGA